CAUACACCAUCGAAACGAAACGAUACAACACCAUAGAUAUAAGGAAAAUGUAAAAAUCGAAAGGUGUGUGUGCCCCAGCGUAUAAAUGUAACAAAGAUGAAUCAUUCUCCUUUUUCGCCAUUCUUUUUUUUAUGUUUCGUGC
RNAcentral lists this non-coding RNA (142 nucleotides) under Striatella unipunctata. The record is from RNAcentral. Lineage: Eukaryota; Bacillariophyta; Striatellaphyceae; Striatellales; Striatellaceae.